GGGUUGUGAGGUUAAGCGACUAAGCGUACACGGUGGAUGCCCUGGCAGUCAGAGGCGAUGAAGGACGUGCUAAUCUGCGAUAAGCGUCGGUAAGGUGAUAUGAACCGUUAUAACCGGCGAUUUCCGAAUGGGGAAACCCAGUGUGAUUCGUCACACUAUCAUUACGUGAAUACAUAGCGUAAUGAAGCGAACCGGGGGAACUGAAACAUCUAAGUACCCCGAGGAAAAGAAAUCAACCGAGAUUCCCCCAGUAGCGGCGAGCGAACGGGGAGCAGCCCAGAGUCUGAAUCAGCUUGUGUGUUAGUGGAACGGUCUGGAAAGUCCGACGGUACAGGGUGAUAGUCCCGUACACCAAAAUGCACAGGUUGUGAACUCGAAGAGUAGGGCGGGACACGUGGUAUCCUGUCUGAAUAUGGGGGGACCAUCCUCCAAGGCUAAAUACUCCUGACUGACCGAUAGUGAACCAGUACCGUGAGGGAAAGGCGAAAAGAACCCCGGCGAGGGGAGUGAAAAAGAACCUGAAACCGUGUACGUACAAGCAGUGGGAGCAUCCUUUUGGGUGUGACUGCGUACCUUUUGUAUAAUGGGUCAGCGACUUAUAUUCUGUAGCAAGGUUAACCGUAUAGGGGAGCCGAAGGGAAACCGAGUCUUAACUGGGCGUUAAGUUGCAGGGUAUAGACCCGAAACCCGGUGAUCUAGCCAUGGGCAGGUUGAAGGUUGGGUAACACUAACUGGAGGACCGAACCGACUAAUGUUGAAAAAUUAGCGGAUGACUUGUGGCUGGGGGUGAAAGGCCAAUCAAACCGGGAGAUAGCUGGUUCUCCCCGAAAGCUAUUUAGGUAGCGCCUCGUGAACUCAUCUUCGGGGGUAGAGCACUGUUUCGGCUAGGGGGUCAUCCCGACUUACCAACCCGAUGCAAACUGCGAAUACCGAAGAAUGUUAUCACGGGAGACACACGGCGGGUGCUAACGUCCGUCGUGAAGAGGGAAACAACCCAGACCGCCAGCUAAGGUCCCAAAGUCAUGGUUAAGUGGGAAACGAUGUGGGAAGGCACAGACAGCCAGGAUGUUGGCUUAGAAGCAGCCAUCAUUUAAAGAAAGCGUAAUAGCUCACUGGUCGAGUCGGCCUGCGCGGAAGAUGUAACGGGGCUAAACCAUGCACCGAAGCUGCGGCAGCGACACUAUGUGUUGUUGGGUAGGGGAGCGUUCUGUAAGCCGUUGAAGGUGUGCUGUGAGGCAUGCUGGAGGUAUCAGAAGUGCGAAUGCUGACAUAAGUAACGAUAAUGCGGGUGAAAAACCCGCACGCCGGAAGACCAAGGGUUCCUGUCCAACGUUAAUCGGGGCAGGGUGAGUCGACCCCUAAGGCGAGGCCGAAAGGCGUAGUCGAUGGGAAACAGGUUAAUAUUCCUGUACUUGGUGUUACUGCGAAGGGGGGACGGAGAAGGCUAUGUUAGCCGGGCGACGGUUGUCCCGGUUUAAGCAUGUAGGCGGAGGUUCCAGGUAAAUCCGGUACCUUUUUAACGCUGAGGUGUGAUGACGAGGCACUACGGUGCUGAAGUAACAAAUGCCCUGCUUCCAGGAAAAGCCUCUAAGCAUCAGGUAACACGAAAUCGUACCCCAAACCGACACAGGUGGUCAGGUAGAGAAUACCAAGGCGCUUGAGAGAACUCGGGUGAAGGAACUAGGCAAAAUGGUGCCGUAACUUCGGGAGAAGGCACGCUGAUAUGUAGGUGAAGUGAUUUACUCAUGGAGCUGAAAUCAGUCGAAGAUACCAGCUGGCUGCAACUGUUUAUUAAAAACACAGCACUGUGCAAACACGAAAGUGGACGUAUACGGUGUGACGCCUGCCCGGUGCCGGAAGGUUAAUUGAUGGGGUUAUCCGUAAGGAGAAGCUCUUGAUCGAAGCCCCGGUAAACGGCGGCCGUAACUAUAACGGUCCUAAGGUAGCGAAAUUCCUUGUCGGGUAAGUUCCGACCUGCACGAAUGGCGUAAUGAUGGCCAGGCUGUCUCCACCCGAGACUCAGUGAAAUUGAACUCGCUGUGAAGAUGCAGUGUACCCGCGGCAAGACGGAAAGACCCCGUGAACCUUUACUAUAGCUUGACACUGAACACUGGUCCUUGAUGUGUAGGAUAGGUGGGAGGCUUUGAAGUGUGGACGCCAGUCUGCAUGGAGCCAUCCUUGAAAUACCACCCUUUAAUGGCUGGUGUUCUAACGUGGACCCGUAAUCCGGGUUGCGGACAGUGUCUGGUGGGUAGUUUGACUGGGGCGGUCUCCUCCUAAAGAGUAACGGAGGAGCACGAAGGUUAGCUAAUCCUGGUCGGACAUCAGGAGGUUAGUGCAAAGGCAUAAGCUAGCUUGACUGCGAGAGUGACGGCUCGAGCAGGUGCGAAAGCAGGUCUUAGUGAUCCGGUGGUUCUGAAUGGAAGGGCCAUCGCUCAACGGAUAAAAGGUACUCCGGGGAUAACAGGCUGAUACCGCCCAAGAGUUCAUAUCGACGGCGGUGUUUGGCACCUCGAUGUCGGCUCAUCACAUCCUGGGGCUGAAGUAGGUCCCAAGGGUAUGGCUGUUCGCCAUUUAAAGUGGUACGCGAGCUGGGUUUAGAACGUCGUGAGACAGUUCGGUCCCUAUCUGCCGUGGGCGCUGGAGAAUUGAGGGGGGCUGCUCCUAGUACGAGAGGACCGGAGUGGACGCAUCACUGGUGUUCGGGUUGUCAUGCCAAUGGCAUUGCCCGGUAGCUAAAUGCGGAAGAGAUAAGUGCUGAAAGCAUCUAAGCACGAAACUUGCCCCGAGAUGAGUUCUCCCUGAGACUUUAAGUCUCCUGAAGGAACGUUGAAGACGACGACGUUGAUAGGUCGGGUGUGUAAGCGUAGCGAUACGUUGAGCUAACCGAUACUAAUGAACCGUGAGGCUUAACCUUACAACGCCGAAG
RNAcentral lists this ribosomal RNA (2929 nucleotides) under Citrobacter freundii. RNAcentral's name for it is "bacterial LSU rRNA". It matches the Rfam family "Bacterial large subunit ribosomal RNA". Lineage: Bacteria; Pseudomonadati; Pseudomonadota; Gammaproteobacteria; Enterobacterales; Enterobacteriaceae. The record is from RNAcentral.